UACAGAGGGGGCAAGCGUUAUUCGGAAUUAUUGGGCGUAAAGGGCGCGUAGGCGGCUUUGCAAGUGACGGGUGAAAGCCCUCGGCUUAACCGAGGAACUGCCUGUCAGACUGUAAGGCUUGAGACCGGGAGAGGUGAGUGGAAUUCCCAGUGUAGCGGUGAAAUGCGUAGAUAUUGGGAGGAACACCGGUGGCGAAGGCGCCUAUCUGGCCCAAUAUUGACGCUGAGGCGCGAAAGCUAGGGGAGCAAACGGG
This 253-nucleotide ribosomal RNA is filed under the name uncultured bacterium. RNAcentral's name for it is "partial 16S ribosomal RNA". It matches the Rfam family "Bacterial small subunit ribosomal RNA", at positions 524 to 776 of the family's 1533-position model. The record is from RNAcentral.